UAGGGAAUCUUCCACAAUGGACGCAAGUCUGAUGGAGCAACGCCGCGUGAGUGAAGAAGGUUUUCGGAUCGUAAAGCUCUGUUGUUGGUGAAGAAGGAUAGAGGCAGUAACUGGUCUUUAUUUGACGGUAAUCAACCAGAAAGUCACGGCUAACUACGUGCCAGCAGCCGCGGUAAUACGUAGGUGGCAAGCGUUGUCCGGAUUUAUUGGGCGUAAAGCGAGCGCAGGCGGAAUGAUAAGUCUGAUGUGAAAGCCCACGGCUCAACCGUGAAACUGCAUCGGAAACUGUCAUUCUUGAGUGCAGAAGAGGAGAGUGGAAUUCCAUGUGUAGCGGUGGAAUGCGUAGAUAUAUGGAAGAGCACCAGUGGCGAAGGCGGCGCUCUGGUCUGCAACUGACGCUGAGGCUCGAAAGCAUGGGUAGCGAACAGG
This 429-nucleotide ribosomal RNA is filed under the name bacterium. RNAcentral's name for it is "partial 16S ribosomal RNA". It matches the Rfam family "Bacterial small subunit ribosomal RNA", at positions 355 to 776 of the family's 1533-position model. The record is from RNAcentral.